Neofelis nebulosa (Clouded leopard) is the source of this 1595-nucleotide long non-coding RNA. RefSeq lists it as uncharacterized. The record is from RefSeq and is a predicted model, not a curated record. The transcript is spliced from 3 exons. Lineage: Eukaryota; Metazoa; Chordata; Mammalia; Carnivora; Felidae.
GGGGCAGGGCUAGCACCAAGCUUUGGCCAGCCCGGGCUGCCUCGCUUCAGAAUUCAGUUUCUAACCCCUCUGCCACCGGAAGCCGUGGAGCCUGAGGGCUGAGCCGACCAGUGGCAUCACGUUAGCAUCCCAGCUCUCUCAGGUGCCAGCCGUGUGACCCCGGACAAACUACGCAACCUCUCUGAGCUCAGUUCCCUCCUCUGUGAAAUGAAGCUAAGAGUAAAGCCUACUUCACAAGGAGUAAAUGAGACGCACCAAGUUCUCAGCGCGGCGCUGGGCACGUAGCAAACCCUGGUGAUGGUGGUAGGUGGUAACCGUGGGGAUAAGGAUAAAGGUAGCAAACAGUAACCAUGGUGAUGGCUGAAUGUGGUGAUGAUGGUGAUGAUGAUUUAAUGCUUGCUGACCGAGUGAACAAUGCAGGAGGAAAAGGGGGCUAUUAUCAGUUUCUAGAAGACUCCAGACAUGAUAAACUGGGUGUUGGAGGAAGAGGAAAUGGCAGCCGCAGGUCAGUGACCGUCCAUCCGGAGACCAGAGAGGAGAGAGUGGGGUAGGAUCCCAGGCGCAAGGGAAUGUGGCCAGCAGAGGGGGAGUGGGGGGAAGGAAAAAGCAAGCAAAUCAGGCAGGGGCCCUGGAGUUGGUGAAAGGGCUUGGUCUGUUUGUUCCACAAUUAGAAACGGGCUCUUGUCCCUGCCGGAGCAGGAAGCUUUUGUUUGGCAGGAGGAGGAAGAGCCGGGCCGCACCGAGAGGAGCCCCCAGUGCCACAUGUUCUGAGUUCCUCCUACCACGCCUGCCAGAGCCCAGGUGGGCGUGGGGCCCGAGGAAGCCCUUGCCACCCAGCGAGUGGGGCUCCAGAGGCCGGGCACUACCACCGGGAGAGGUGACAGCUGUCAGCACCGAGGAGAAGAACAUUCUGAGGCCCAAGAAUAGCCCGACCGCAAGACAGGGAGGCUCUGUCUCUGAAGCAUCGCCCUCCUCCCUGGAGCAGAAAAGCCGCAUGUUUGGAGACCCCGAGGUUUCCUGGAACCGCCAGGAGAAGAGGCUGUACCCCAGCUGAUGUUGGCGACAAGAAAGCAAGACUUGUGCAAGCACCAUUAGAAGGCAGUGCAUGCUUUUACUAUGCACGCGAGACCCCGGGCCAUAAGGAAGUGUUGGCAGAGCCUGGAUCCCACCGCAAACUUCAGAAAGCACAGGGAAACUUCAGAUAUACCCCAGUGCUUACUUACAUCCUUCUAUUUUGGAGAUAAACAUGAUCGUCAGUGAUUCAGGGGAGAAAAAAGCGACCGUUCAGCCUGAUGGUCGAGACGAUCGCUGCUGACACUGUGUUCAUACCGAUUUUAUUCCCAGCGGCCGAAAGGUGGAAACAACCCAACUGCCCGUCAACAGGGGAGUGGAAAAACAGAAUGUGGUGUGUUCGUACAGCAAAAUACUAUUCAGCCACCCGAAGAAAUGAAAUCUUGAUAGAUGCUACAGAGUGGGUGGGCCUGGGAAAUGUGACACUAGGGGAAAUAAACCAGACGCAGAAGGACAAAUAUUGCACGCUCGCUUCCAUUAACGUGAGGUGCCUAAAAUGAGCAAAUUCAGAGAGACAGAAAAUA